Molecule: ribosomal RNA, 459 nt
Filed under: uncultured Sphingobacteriales bacterium
Lineage: Bacteria; Pseudomonadati; Bacteroidota; Sphingobacteriia; Sphingobacteriales
Description: bacterial SSU rRNA
Rfam family: Bacterial small subunit ribosomal RNA
Source: RNAcentral
CCCGCACAAGCGGAGGAACAUGUGGUUAAUUCGAUGAUACGCGAGGAACCUUACCUGGGCUUAAAUGGGGAGUGACAGCUGUCGAAAGUAUGGUUUUCUUCGGACACUCUUCAAGGUGCUGCAUGGUUGUCGUCAGCUCGUGCCGUGAGGUGUCGGGUUAAGUCCCAUAACGAGCGCAACCCUUACCGUUAGUUACCAUCAGGUUAAGCUGGGGACUCUAGCGGGACUGCCACCGUAAGGUGAGAGGAAGUGGGGAUGACGUCAAAUCAGCACGGCCCUUAUGUCCAGGGCUACACACGUGUUACAAUGGCCGGUACAAAGGGCAGCUACUUCGCGAGAAGAUGCUAAUCUCGAAAGCCGGUCUCAGUUCGGAUCGAAGUCUGCAACCCGACUUCGUGAAGCUGGAUUCGCUAGUAAUCGCGCAUCAGCCAUGGCGCGGUGAAUACGUUCCCGGGCCUU